RNAcentral lists this ribosomal RNA (402 nucleotides) under uncultured bacterium. Its description in RNAcentral is "bacterial SSU rRNA". It matches the Rfam family "Bacterial small subunit ribosomal RNA", at positions 355 to 774 of the family's 1533-position model. The record is from RNAcentral.
UGGGGAAUCUUGCACAAUGGGGGCAACCCUGAUGCAGCGACGCCGCGUGAGCGAUGAAGCCCUUCGGGGCGUAAAGCUCUUUCGACCGGAACGAUAAUGACGGUACCGGGAGAAGAAGCUGCGGCUAACUACGUGCCAGCAGCCGCGGUAAUACGUAGGACCCAAGCGUUGUCCGGAUUUACUGGGUGUAAAGGGUGCGCAGGCGGAUGGGUAAGUCAGGGGUGAAAGUCUGCAGCUUAACUGUAGAAUUGCCUUUGAUACUGCUCAUCUUGAGUGUGGGAGAGGUUGAUGGAAUUCCAGGUGUAGCAGUGAAAUGCGUAGAUAUCUGGAAGAACACCAGUGGCGAAGGCGGUCAACUGGCCCAUAACUGACGCUCAUGCACGAAAGCGUGGGGAGCAAACA